Molecule: ribosomal RNA, 511 nt
Filed under: bacterium SNB-CN92
Lineage: Bacteria
Description: bacterial SSU rRNA
Rfam family: Bacterial small subunit ribosomal RNA
Source: RNAcentral
UGGCGGCUGCCUAAUACAUGCAAGUCGAGCGAACAGAAAAGGAGCUUGCUCCUUUGACGUUAGCGGCGGACGGGUGAGUAACACGUGGGCAACCUACCUUAUAGUUUGGGAUAACUCCGGGAAACCGGGGCUAAUACCGAAUAAUCUAUUUCACUUCAUGGUGAAAUACUGAAAGACGGCAUCUCGCUGUCGCUAUAARAUGGGCCCGCGGCGCAUUAGCUAGUUGGUGAGGUAACGGCUCACCAAGGCGACAAUGCGUAGCCAACCUGAGAGGGUGAUCGGCCACACUGGGACUGAGACACGGCCCARACUCCUACGGGAGGCAGCAGUAGGGAAUCUUCCACAAUGGGCGAAAGCCUGAUGGAGCAACGCCGCGUGAGUGAAGAAGGUUUUCGGAUCGUAAAACUCUGUUGUAAGGGAAGAACAAGUACAGUAGUAACUGGCUGUACCUUGACGGUACCUUAUUAGAAAGCCACGGCUAACUACGUGCCAGCAGCCGCGGGUUAAUACA